CGAGUGAACCGGGAAGAGCUCAAAUUUGAAAUCUGGCGUGCUCAGUGCGUCCGAGUUGUAAUCUAUAGAAGUGUUUUCCGUGCCGGACCGUGUCCAAGUCCCUUGGAACAGGGUAUCAAAGAGGGUGAUAAUCCCGUACUUGACACGACGACCGGUGCUCUGUGAUACACUUUCUACGAGUCGAGUUGUUUGGGAAUGCAGCUCAAAAUGGGUGGUGAGUUCCAUCUAAAGCUAAAUAUUGGCGAGAGACCGAUAGCGAACAAGUACCGUGAGGGAAAGAUGAAAAGCACUUUGGAAAGAGAGUUAAACAGUACGUGAAAUUGUUGAAAGGGAAACGAUUGAAGUCAGUCGUGACUGAGAGGCUCAGCCGGUUCUGCCGGUGUAUUCCCCUCAGUCGGGUCAACAUCAGUUUUGUCCGGUGGAUAAGGGCAGUUGGAAGGUGGCACCCUCGGGUGUGUUAUAGCCAGCUGUCGCAUACAUUGGAUGAGACUGAGGAAUGCAGCUCGCCUUUAUGGCCGGGGUUCGCCCACGUCCGAGCUUAGG
Molecule: ribosomal RNA, 543 nt
Filed under: Agaricomycotina sp. IP
Lineage: Eukaryota; Fungi; Basidiomycota
Description: LSU rRNA
Rfam family: Eukaryotic large subunit ribosomal RNA
Source: RNAcentral